RNAcentral lists this ribosomal RNA (123 nucleotides) under Petromyzon marinus (sea lamprey). Lineage: Eukaryota; Metazoa; Chordata; Hyperoartia; Petromyzontiformes; Petromyzontidae. The record is from RNAcentral.
CUUAUACAAUGAAAUCACCCCGAAUGCACCCAUUCUCAUCAGUUGUCCAAAGCAAAGCAGGGGCAAACCUGAUUAGCACUUGAAUGGGAGACUGCCUGGGGAUACUGCGAGGUGUUGUUAGGC